RNAcentral lists this ribosomal RNA (433 nucleotides) under uncultured bacterium. RNAcentral describes it as "partial 16S ribosomal RNA". It matches the Rfam family "Bacterial small subunit ribosomal RNA", at positions 29 to 507 of the family's 1533-position model. The record is from RNAcentral.
AACGAACGCUGGCGGCAUGCCUAACACAUGCAAGUCGAACGAGACCUCCGGGUUCAGUGUCGCACGGGGUCGUAACGCGGGGGAACCUGCCCCUAGGCUCGGAAUAACUUCCCGAAAGGGGCGCCAAUACCGGAAAUAGUCUCCGGACCAAAGGUUUAUCGCAAUUGGAGGGGCGCGAGUCGGCUCCGCUGGUGGGUAGGGUAAAAUGCUACCAAGGCGACGCUCCAUAGAGGGUCUGAGAGGCUGAUCAGCCACACUGGGACUGAGACACGGCCCAGACUCCUGCGCGAGGCAGCCGUGGGUGAUCUUGGCCAGUCGGCGGAAGCCUGAUCCAGCACUGCCGCGUGAGUGCUGAAGGCCUUAGAGUUGUCAAGCUCUUUUACCCGGGAUGAUAAUGACAGUACCGGAAGAAUAAGCUCCGGCUAACUCCGUG